AUCUUUUAUUUUCCAUUUUGCCGUCACAUCACACAACCUCUAUCCGCAGGGAGGGCAAGGCCUGGAAGCCCUCGUCAAACGGUUUCAUUUACCUCCAACUGCCAGAAACCGGGGGAAGCAGGGCCUUUAGAAGAAUCGAGGUGUAUCUGUGUUUUUUUUGAAAGGAGAUGUUUGUCCAGGUUCAAGCACUGCACCCUCUGUGGCAAGCGUCCCAGGUCCCAGGUCUCAGCCUGUCUCAAUUGCAUAGAAGAGAGACCCAGGAAAGGAAAGAUCAUAAUCCCUGAUAAUCUGCAGGUGAAAGUAACAGUUGGAAGUGUCUAUCCCUCAGUUGCUGAUUUAUUAUUUAGAACAUGUUAAAGAGGAACUGGGACCCAAUCUCUGAAAACUUAACUCGGAGGAGCUAUUGAAACAGCAGGAUCCGCAUGCUUAAAACCAGGUACAGGAUAGAGGACAGUUGAAUCCUUGCAAUUUCUGAGCCUGUCUCCAAAUCCUCAAUACCUAUUAUUAUUAUUAUUUUUUUUUUUUGUCUUUUUGCUAUUUCUUUGGGCCGCUCCGCGGCAUAUGGAGGUUCCCAGGCUAGGGGUUGAAUCGGAGCUGUAGCCACCGGCCCAUGCCAGAGCCACAGCACCGCGGGAUCCAAGCCGCGUCUGCAACCUACACCACAGCUCACAGCAACACCGGAUCGUUAACCCACUGAGUGAGGCCAGGGACCGAACCUGCAACCUCAUGGUUCCUAGUUGGAUUCGUUAACCACUGUGCCACGACGGGAACUCCUGUCAUUUUUCACCUUGCACAGCAAGGUGACCCAGUCACACAUACAGGUGUACAUUCUUUUUUUCUCACGUUGUCAUGCUCCAUCACAAGUGACCAGAUGUAGUUCUCAGUGCUGUACAGCAGGAUCCCAUUGCUUAUCCAUGUUAUUUUCUUUUUUAACAUUAUUAUUUUUAUAGCCAUCCUAGUGGAUGUGAUAUCCAUAUUAUUCUUUUUCAAAAUUUUGUUGAGGGAAUUCCUGUUGUGCCUCAGCAGGUUAAGAACCCAACCAGUAUCCAUGAGGAUGAGGGUUCAAUCCCUGGCCUUGCUCAGGGGGUUAAGGAUCCAGUGUUGCCACAAGCUGCAGCAUAGGUCACAGAUGCUGUUCAGAUCUAGUGUUGCUGCGGCUAUGGUGUAGGCCCAGCAGCUACUGCUCCAAUUCGAGCCCUAGGCUGGUGUGGCCUUAAAAGAAAAAAAUUUUUAUUGAUGUAUAGUUGAUUUCCAAUGUUGUGUUAAUUUCUGCUGCAUAGCAAAAUGACUCCGUUUUAUAUAUAUAUAUAUAUAUAUAUAUAUAUAUAUAUAUAAAUACACACACACAUAUAUACAU
RNAcentral lists this long non-coding RNA (1357 nucleotides) under Sus scrofa (pig). Its description in RNAcentral is "lncRNA (ENSSSCG00070018347.1)". The record is from RNAcentral. Lineage: Eukaryota; Metazoa; Chordata; Mammalia; Artiodactyla; Suidae.